This is a long non-coding RNA of Orcinus orca (killer whale), 342 nucleotides long. RefSeq lists it as uncharacterized. Lineage: Eukaryota; Metazoa; Chordata; Mammalia; Artiodactyla; Delphinidae. The record is from RefSeq and is a predicted model, not a curated record. The transcript is spliced from 3 exons.
UAAAACUAGAACAAAUUUGUUUCUGUGGAAAGGGAAAUAUGGCCGCAACAAACAAAAAUGAUAGGACAUGGCUCUGACAGGUGACAAUCCAGAAGAAUAGCUCUUGAGUGCCCUAUCUGAUUCUUGGGAAACUAGAGGAUGUCAUCGUCGCCCUAGCCCCCUGCGUCACCACCCCUCUGGUUGCAACACAGAAGCUUUUUGGGAAGUGAUACUAACAAGAAUCAGAUUUUCCUGGACCCGUAACAGAGGAAACAACUUCUGGCACAGUAAUUCUUUGAACUGGAACCAUGAGGGCAAGUACUAACGUAUCCUUCUAUUGCAUGCAAUGUCUUAUGCACAAAA